UAGGGAAUAUUAGUAAUGGGCGAAAGCCUGAACUAGCAACACCGCGUGUGCGAAGAAGGCCUUCGGGCUGUAAAGCACUUUUUGGAAGGAUUAGGAAGGAAUGUACUUCCAGAAUAAGUCUCGGCUAACUACGUGCCAGCAGCCGCGGUAACACGUAGGAGGCAAACGUUAUCCGGAUUUACUGGGCGUAAAGCGCGUGUAGGUGGUUCUGUAAGUAGGGCGUGAAAGCUCCUGGCUCAACUGGGAGAGGCCGUUCUAAACUGCAGAGCUAGAGGAUGGUAGAGGGAGGUGGAAUUCCGGGUGUAGCGGUGGAAUGCGCAGAUAUCCGGAGGAACACCAGUGGCGAAAGCGGCCUCCUGGACCAUUCCUGACACUCAGACGCGAAAGCUAGGGUAGCAAACG
RNAcentral lists this ribosomal RNA (402 nucleotides) under uncultured prokaryote. RNAcentral's name for it is "bacterial SSU rRNA". It matches the Rfam family "Bacterial small subunit ribosomal RNA", at positions 355 to 774 of the family's 1533-position model. The record is from RNAcentral.